RNAcentral lists this ribosomal RNA (510 nucleotides) under uncultured bacterium. Its description in RNAcentral is "bacterial SSU rRNA". It matches the Rfam family "Bacterial small subunit ribosomal RNA", at positions 28 to 528 of the family's 1533-position model. The record is from RNAcentral.
GAUGAACGCUAGCGGGAGGCUUAACACAUGCAAGUCGAGGGGCAGCAUAGGGUAGCAAUACUCUGAUGGCGACCGGCAAACGGGUGAGUAACGCGUAUGCAACCUACCCUGUACAGGGGGAUAACCCGGAGAAAUUCGGACUAAUAUCCCGUAAUAAUAUCCGGAGGCAUCUUUGGAUAUUUAAAGUUUCGACGGUACGGGAUGGGCAUGCGUAACAUUAGCUGGUUGGUAAGGUAACGGCUUACCAAGGCUAUGAUGUUUAGGGGUCCUGAGAGGGUGGUCCCCCACACUGGUACUGAGACACGGACCAGACUCCUACGGGAGGCAGCAGUGAGGAAUAUUGGUCAAUGGGCGCAAGCCUGAACCAGCCAUCCCGCGUGCAGGAAGACGGCCCUAUGGGUUGUAAACUGCUUUUCCAGGGAGAGAAACUUACGCACGUGUUGCGUGACUGACGGUACCCUGGGAAUAAGCAAUCGGCUAACUCCGUGCCAGCAGCCGCGGUAAUAGUGU